CCAUCAUUCAGUUGGGCACUUUAAAGAGACUGCCGGUGUUAACCGGAGGAAGGUGGGGAUGACGUCAAGUCCUCAUGGCCUUUAUGCCCAGGGCUACACACGUGCUACAAUGGGUGGUACAAAGAGAUGCAAUCUCGCAAGAGCAAGCAAACCUCAAAAAGCCAUCCUCAGUUCGGAUUGGAGUCUGCAACUCGACUCCAUGAAGUCGGAAUCGCUAGUAAUCGCGGAUCAGCACGCCGCGGUGAAUACGUUCCCGGGCCUU
This 262-nucleotide ribosomal RNA is filed under the name uncultured Syntrophus sp. RNAcentral's name for it is "partial 16S ribosomal RNA". It matches the Rfam family "Bacterial small subunit ribosomal RNA", at positions 1118 to 1382 of the family's 1533-position model. The record is from RNAcentral. Lineage: Bacteria; Pseudomonadati; Thermodesulfobacteriota; Syntrophia; Syntrophales; Syntrophaceae.